This 587-nucleotide ribosomal RNA is filed under the name Clostridioides difficile. Its description in RNAcentral is "partial 23S ribosomal RNA". It matches the Rfam family "Bacterial large subunit ribosomal RNA", at positions 2084 to 2669 of the family's 2925-position model. The record is from RNAcentral. Lineage: Bacteria; Bacillati; Bacillota; Clostridia; Peptostreptococcales; Peptostreptococcaceae.
AAAGACCCCAUGGAGCUUUACUGUAGCUUGACAUUGGGUCUUGGUACUACAUGUACAGGAUAGGUGGGAGGCUUUGAAACCAGGACGCCAGUUUUGGCGGAGCCAUCCUUGGGAUACCACCCUUGUAGUACUGGGACUCUAACCAUAGGCCAUGAAUCUGGUCUUGGGACACUGUCAGGUGGGCAGUUUGACUGGGGCGGUCGCCUCCCAAAAGGUAACGGAGGCGCUCAAAGGUUCUCUCAGUACGGUCGGAAAUCGUACGUAGAGUGUAAAGGCAAAAGAGAGCUUGAUUGCAAGACAUACAGGUCGAGCAAGGAUGAAAAUCGGACUUAGUGAUCCGGUGGUUCUGCGUGGAAGGGCCAUCGCUCAACGGAUAAAAGCUACCCUGGGGAUAACAGGCUUAUCUCCCCCAAGAGUCCACAUCGACGGGGAGGUUUGGCACCUCGAUGUCGGCUCAUCACAUCCUGGGGCUGUAGUAGGUCCCAAGGGUUGGGCUGUUCGCCCAUUAAAGUGGUACGCGAGCUGGGUUCAGAACGUCGUGAGACAGUUCGGUCCCUAUCCGUCGCAGGCGUAGGAAAUUUGAGAAG